AUGCCGGAGGUCACUUCCACCAGAAGUGAAAGGCUAACAUCCAAAGGCAUUAUGUUUUUUUGCAACACCACAGCCAUCAAGGACUGGAGCUAUUUUCUCUCUCAAAUCUGGCCUCUUGUGAAUAAAUCAGCGGGAUUUGUUCAUCAGAGUAUGGAGCGGGUGGAAGCGGUGACGAGCACCAUGGUGACGGCUCUGGAGCCCGACCUGAGCGGCAUGAGCGCCAGUCACCCGCCGCUCAACUCCAAUCACACGUCCGGAAUGGAGCACGUCUUUCAGUACUCGUACUCCGAGAGUGACCUGCAGUACACAGACUACAGGACGCCGCCGAGGGACUCGAUACCGCUGCCCAAGGCGGUGCUGUACCUGGUUAUGGCCGCGCUGGUGGUGGUGGCCGUGGCGUACGCGAUCGUGGGGCACCUGGUGAAGGAUCUCGUGCAUGAGUUUGUGGGGCCCUUGAUGGAGCACACAACUGUUUGCAUCAGUUCUGACAUGCAACUCUGAAAUGCACCUCUGCUGACAUUCAACACUGUACAUUCACAUUCACCUCCACAAGCAUCCCGACCCGUUUUCUCUCAAAGCUCGUGUUGAGUAUCCGGAAGGGGAUGAAAAGAAUUACAUUUAAUUCCUUCAGGGUCCCUCACUUCUGUUUUUCAAAGACCUUGACGUUUACCUGAAGCGAUGAAGCAGGCAGGUCACACACACACACACACACACACACACACACACACACACACACACACACACACACACACACACACACACACACACAACCGAAGCAGAGAGGGGGCAUGAGCACUCAACAAUACCUGAGAGAUUUCUCCAAAAGCCCUGGUUACACCAAGUACUCUUCUAUAGAUGUAGCUCUGUGCUUUUGUGUGGGUCCUGAGAGGUGUAAAUGUGAAGAUCAUCGGUUUGGUGAGAUUCUCACUGUAGUUUUUCUCUCUACAGGGUCAGACAAGGAGAAAGCUCACUUUUGCUAUCUAGUAAAAUACAAUUGUGAUUUACAAGUCAGACGCUCUCUUUAGUUUCCGUUUUGUCUGAUAAGAAAAAUAAGGUUAGGGUUGACUUUUGUUGCAUUAUUUUUCUAAGUGACAGGAGUUGCAUUUUUUUCUUUGUGGGCGAUAAAAUGCCUGGUGGGGGGGGUGGUACUCAGAAAUCAUCUAUCAAUUACCUAGAACUCCCUAGAAACCUCUUAGCAACCGAUCAGAACACCUUAGAAUAGUAGCAGUGACUUUUGCCUUCGCAUUUGUCUGAAAGGAAAAACAUAAAAAUAAUCUAUUUUGUUUAAAUAGCAUUUUCCGUUGACCCCAGUGUGAUGAUGUGCAGAACACAUACUAGUUGGCUUAUGAGUUAGAAAUUACUGUGGUUUUUAUUUAGUUUUCUGUUAUUUAUUUUUUCUUUUUAUUGCAUGCACAUUUUAAAAACACAUCAUAUUAAGCAUUUCAAAGUUGUCUUUAUUUAGUAAACUAAAUUAAACAUUGACUAAAAAAGGACUACUUUC
Long non-coding RNA from Cyprinus carpio (common carp), 1501 nucleotides. The record is from Ensembl. NCBI's taxonomy places the organism in Eukaryota, Metazoa, Chordata, Actinopteri, Cypriniformes, Cyprinidae.